Molecule: ribosomal RNA, 390 nt
Filed under: uncultured bacterium
Lineage: Bacteria
Description: bacterial SSU rRNA
Rfam family: Bacterial small subunit ribosomal RNA
Source: RNAcentral
AUUGAACGCUGGCGGCAUGCCUUACACAUGCAAGUCGAACGGUAACGGGCCUUCGGGUGCCGACGAGUGGCGAACGGGUGAGUAAUGCAUCGGAACGUACCUUUCAGUGGGGGAUAACGUAGCGAAAGUUACGCUAAUACCGCAUAUUCUGUGAGCAGGAAAGCAGGGGAUCGCAAGACCUUGCGCUGAUUGAGCGGCCGAUAUCAGAUUAGCUAGUUGGUGAGGUAAAGGCUCACCAAGGCGACGAUCUGUAGCGGGUCUGAGAGGAUGAUCCGCCACACUGGAACUGAGACACGGUCCAGACUCCUAUGGGAGGCAGCAGUGGGGAAUUUUGGACAAUGGGCGCAAGCCUGAUCCAGCCAUGCCGCGUGAGUGAAGAAGGCCUCGGUU